GAUGAACACUAGCUACAGGCUUAACACAUGCAAGUCGGGGGGAAACGACAUCGAAAGCUUGCUUUUGAUGGGCGUCGACCGGCGCACGGGUGGGUAACGCGUAUCCGACCUGCCCAUCACUUGGGGAUAACCUUGCGAAAGUAAGACUAAUACCCAAUGAUAUCUCUAGAAGACAUCUGAAAGAGAUUAAAGAUUUAUCGGUGAUGGAUGGGGAUGCGUCUGAUUAGCUUGUUGGCGGGGUAACGGCCCACCAAGGCAACGAUCAGUAGGGGUUCUGAGAGGAAGGUCCCCCACAUUGGAACUGAGACACGGUCCAAACUCCUACGGGAGGCAGCAGUGAGGAAUAUUGGUCAAUGGGCGAGAGCCUGAACCAGCCAAGUAGCGUGCAGGAAGACGGCCCUAUGGGUUGUAAACUGCUUUUAUAAGGGAAUAAAGUGAGAGUCGUGACUCUUUUUGUAUGUACCUUAUGAAUAAGGACCGGCUAAUUCCGUG
Molecule: ribosomal RNA, 492 nt
Filed under: uncultured bacterium
Lineage: Bacteria
Description: partial 16S ribosomal RNA
Rfam family: Bacterial small subunit ribosomal RNA
Source: RNAcentral